RNAcentral lists this ribosomal RNA (1448 nucleotides) under uncultured Bacteroidota bacterium. RNAcentral's name for it is "bacterial SSU rRNA". It matches the Rfam family "Bacterial small subunit ribosomal RNA". Lineage: Bacteria; Pseudomonadati; Bacteroidota. The record is from RNAcentral.
GAUGAACGCUAGCGGCAGGCUUAACACAUGCAAGUCGAGGGGCAGCGGGAGCAGCAAUGCUUGCCGGCGACCGGCGCACGGGUGAGUAACAGGUAUGCAAUCUGCCUCCGACCGGGGGAUAACCCGUCGAAAGACGGACUAACACCGCAUAAGACCACGGAGUGGCAUCACUUCGGGGUAAAAUAUUUAUAGGUCGGAGAUGAGCAUGCCCGUCAUUAGGUAGUUGGUAGAGUAACGGCCUACCAAGCCGACGAUGAUUAGGGGUUCUGAGAGGAAGGUCCCCCACACCGGUACUGAGACACGGACCGGACUCCUACGGGAGGCAGCAGUGAGGAAUAUUGGUCAAUGGGCGAGAGCCUGAACCAGCCAUGCCGCGUGAAGGAAGACGGCCCUACGGGUUGUAAACUUCUUUUAUACGGGAACAAUAAGCGAUACGCGUAUCGCGAUGAGCGUACCGUAUGAAUAAGCAUCGGCUAACUCCGUGCCAGCAGCCGCGGUAAUACGGAGGAUGCGAGCGUUAUCCGGAUUUAUUGGGUUUAAAGGGUGCGUAGGCGGGCACGUAAGUCAGCGGUGAAAUACCCCGGCUCAACCGGGGAACUGCCGUUGAUACUGCGUGUCUUGAGUAUAUUUGAGGCAGGCGGAAUGUGCAGUGUAGCGGUGAAAUGCUUAGAUAUUGCACAGAACACCGAUUGCGAAGGCAGCCUGCUAAGAUAAAACUGACGCUGAAGCACGAAAGUGUGGGGGAUCAAACAGGAUUAGAUACCCUGGUAGUCCACACUGUAAACGAUGAUUACCGGAUGUUUGUGCGAUUUGGCAUGAGCGUCUCGAGCGAAAGCAUUAAGUAAUCCACCUGGGGAGUACGUCGGCAACGAUGAAACUCAAAGGAAUUGACGGGGGCCCGCACAAGCGGAGGAACAUGUGGUUUAAUUCGAUGAUACGCGAGGAACCUUACCCGGGCUCGAACGGCUAAUGAAUAUAAUAGAGAUGUUAUAGUUUUCGGACAUUAGUCGAGGUGCUGCAUGGUUGUCGUCAGCUCGUGCCGUGAGGUGUCGGCUUAAGUGCCAUAACGAGCGCAACCCUUGUCGAUAGUUGCCAUCAGGUCAAGCUGGGGACUCUAUCGAGACUGCCACCGUAAGGUGCGAGGAGGGGGGGGAUGACGUCAAAUCAGCACGGCCCUUACGUCCGGGGCGACACACGUGUUACAAUGGGUGGUACAGAGGGAAGCUAGACAGUGAUGUCAUGCGAAUCUCGAAAUCCACUCUCAGUUCGGAUUGGAGUCUGCAACCCGACUCCAUGAAGUUGGAUUCGCUAGUAAUCGCGCAUCAGCCAUGGCGCGGUGAAUACGUUCCCGGGCCUUGUACACACCGCCCGUCAAGCCAUGGGAGCUGGGGGUGCCUGAAGUCCGAGACCGCGAGGAUCGGCCUAGGGCAAGACCAGUGACUGGGGCU